Molecule: long non-coding RNA, 212 nt
Filed under: Malus domestica (apple)
Lineage: Eukaryota; Viridiplantae; Streptophyta; Magnoliopsida; Rosales; Rosaceae
Description: long non-coding RNA (MDOM_LNC012856)
Source: RNAcentral
AAAAACUAGGCACUAUUUAUGAAAUUGGACCAAUAAAUAGUAUAGUACCAUUUAGUUUCAUAAAUAGUGUUUAGUUUCAUAAAUAGUGUAUAGGUCCUCCACGUUAGUUUUUUUUUUUUUCUAUUCUUUUAUUAAAAUUUAAGUUCUUUUGUCCUUUUUAUUAAAAUUUAAGGGUUUUUCAUUCAAAUUGAAUGCUUUUUCAUGAAAUAAAC